CAUGCAAGUCGAGCGAAGCUUUUUGGUAGUUUACUACUAGAAAUGACUGAGCGGCGAACGGGUGAGUAACGCGUGAGCAAUCUACCUUAGUUACUGGGAUAGCCCGAGGAAACUCGGAUUAAUACCAGAUAUUCUUAUUUUUUCACAUGAAGUUUUAAGGAAAGGUCAGCCGAACUAAGAUGAGCUCGCGUUCUAUCAGCUAGUUGGUGGGGUAAAAGCCUACCAAGGCUACGACGGAUAGCUGGUCUGAGAGGACGAUCAGCCACACUGGGACUGAGACACGGCCCAGACUCCUACGGGAGGCUGCAGCAGGGAAUAUUGUGCAAUGAGCGAAAGCUUGACACAGCGACACCGCGUGUGGGAUGACGGUUCUAGGAUUGUAAACCACUUUCAGGAGGGAAGAAAAUGACGGUACCUCCACAAGAAGACCCGGCCAACUAUGUGCCAGCAGCCGCGGUAAUACAUAGGGGUCAAGCGUUGUCCGGAUUUAUUGGGCGUAAAGAGCUCGUAGGCGGUUCAACAAGUCGGUCGUAAAAGUUUAGGGCUCAACCCUAAAAUGUCGAUCGAUACUGUUGUGACUAGGAUACGGUAGAGGUGAAUGGAAUUCCGAGUGUAGCGGUGAAAUGCGUAGAUAUUCGGAGGAACACCAAUUGCGAAGGCAGUUCACUGGACCGUGAUCGACG
Molecule: ribosomal RNA, 683 nt
Filed under: uncultured bacterium
Lineage: Bacteria
Description: bacterial SSU rRNA
Rfam family: Bacterial small subunit ribosomal RNA
Source: RNAcentral